CAAGGAAUUUUCCGCAAUGGGCGAAAGCCUGACGGAGCAACGCCGCGUGCAGGAUGACGCAUUUCGGUGUGUAAACUGCUGUUCGGGGGGACGAAGCACUGACGGUACCCCCGGAGGAAGGCCCGGCUAACUACGUGCCAGCAGCCGCGGUAAUACAUAGGGGCCAAGCGUUGUCCGGAGUUACUGGGCGUAAAGCGUGCGCAGGCGGCUCGUUGCGCCCGACGUGAAAGCCCCCGGCUCAACCGGGGAGGGUCGUCGGGGACGGGCGAGCUUGAGGGUGUCAGGGGCUGGUGGAACUCCCGGUGUAGUGGUGAAAUGCGUAGAGAUCGGGAAGAACACCCGUGGCGAAGGCGGCCAGCUGGGACACACCUGACGCUGAGGCACGAAGGCGUGGGGAGCGAACGGG
Molecule: ribosomal RNA, 406 nt
Filed under: bacterium
Lineage: Bacteria
Description: partial 16S ribosomal RNA
Rfam family: Bacterial small subunit ribosomal RNA
Source: RNAcentral